Struthio camelus australis is the source of this 7773-nucleotide non-coding RNA. NCBI's taxonomy places the organism in Eukaryota, Metazoa, Chordata, Aves, Struthioniformes, Struthionidae. The record is from RefSeq and is a predicted model, not a curated record.
CUGUGAGUGCCCUUCCAUCUUUUGGUGCAGGAUAUAUUCAGUUAUGGUGCUCUUAAGAGUAGGGAAGCUCUUGGAAGGGGUUUCUCUGGAGCUGAGCUGUAGUGCUGGUCCUGCGAAGGUGAUAUUGGAGCCGAACCAAGUUGUGGUUUUGGACUGUAAUGUGGCCCCUGUUGAACAGGUGAUCAAUAUCACGUGGAAGAAGAAUGGGUUUCCGUUAGUGGAGCAGGAACAUCUGCAUGUGCUUCCGAAUGGGUCGCUCUUCAUCUCAUCCCAGGCUGUGGCAAAGGACAGCAAAUAUCCUGAGAGGGCCGGUGCUGAGGGUAAUUACUCCUGUGUGUCCCACAGCUCCCUAGGGGCUGUCACCAGUCAAACAGCUGCAGUCAGAUUUUCAACCUUAUCACGCUUUUUCCAACAGCCGGAGUUGCAGACAGUGGAAGAAAAUGGCAUCGCCCGGUUUGAGUGUCGCAUUGAAGGACUGCCCUCCCCGGUCAUCACGUGGGAGAAGGAUCACGUAGCUGUUCCAGCAGAGCCCAGGUUUAUAACUCUUCCAAAUGGUGUCCUCCAAAUUGUGGAUGUGCAGGAGAGUGACGCUGGGGCUUACCACUGCGUGGCAACCAACGCCGCUCGGAAACGCUACAGCAAUGAUGCGGUCCUCAGUGUCCUGAAAGGUUCUCAGCCAGCAACAGGAGAUGUCACCAUCGUGGCUGCUCCGGAGAACACAACGGUGGUGGCGGGGGAAAGUGCGGUGAUGGAGUGCAUGGCAUCCGCCGAUCCCACCCCCUUUGUCUCCUGGAUACGACAGGAUGGAAAGCCUAUUUCAACGGAUGUGAUUGUUCUGGGCCGGACAAACCUCCUCAUUCCUUCCAGCCAGCCGCACCACUCAGGGGUGUAUGUUUGCCGUGCUAACAAACCCCAGACCAGGCAAUUUGUUACAGCCGCAGCUGAGCUCCGGGUCCUCGCUAUGCCCAGUAUCUCCCAGGCUCCUGAAACUAUCUCGCGCACCCGAGCCAGCACAGCCCGGUUUGUCUGCAAGGCAGAGGGCGAGCCGGCCCCGACCAUUCACUGGCUGAAGAACGGCGAGGCCAUCCUCUCCAAUGGGCGAGUGAAGGUCCAGAGCAGUGGGAGUCUCGUGAUCAAUCAGAUCGGGCUGGAGGAUGCUGGCUACUAUCAGUGCGUGGCUGAGAACAGCCUGGGCAUGGCUUGUGCCACUGCCAAGCUCUCGGUGAUUGUGCGGGAGGGUUUACCCAGCGCUCCCAAAAGGGUGUCUGCUGUGUCCCUCUCCAGCACCACAGUCCUUGUGUCCUGGGAGCGUCCAGAGUACAACAGCGAGCAGAUCAUUGGCUUCUCAUUACAUUACCAGCGGGCUGUGGGAACAGAUAAUGUGGAGUACCAGUUUGCCGUCAAUAACGAUACCACUGAGCUGCAAGUCAAGGACCUAGAACCCAAUACCAACUAUGUCUUCUAUGUGGUCGCGUAUUCUCAGCUUGGAGCAAGCCGGACAUCCUCUUCUAUAAUCGUUCAGACCUUGGAGGAUGUUCCGAGCGCUGCCCCUCAGCUCUCCCUGUCGAGCAUGACUCCUGGUGACAUCCGUGUGACAUGGCUGCCUCCUCCUCCGGAGCUGAGUAAUGGCAAGAUAACGAAGUACAAGAUCGACUACUGCACCCUCAAGGAAGCAGAUCAGGUCACCUCCAUUGAAGUGGGCGGAAAUGAGACACAAAUCACUCUCUACUCGCUGCAUCCCAACAAAGUGUACAAAGUGCGCAUUGCAGCCAGCACCAGCAUGGGCUAUGGGGCCCCUUCGGAAUGGACCCAGCAUCGGACUCCUGACAGGGACAACCAGACGCAUGUUCCGUUUGCCCCAACAGAAUUAAAAGUCCGAGCGAAGAUGGAGUCCCUCCUGAUAUCAUGGCAACCCCCAGCCAACCAUGCCCAGAUAUCAGGCUACAAACUCUACUACCGGGAAGUGGGCACGGAGGAGUCCAGUGAUGAAAGCCCUUUGGAUGGCGCUGAAGAUGAGAGCUGGGACGUAGGGCCCAUAAAACUAAAGAAGAAAGUGAAGCAGUACGAACUGACUCGACUAGUUCCUGGGAAACUCUAUGAGGUGAAGCUGGUGGCAUUCAAUAAGCAUGAAGAUGGCUAUGCAGCGGUUUGGAAGGGCAAAACAGAAAAGGCACCUGUGACAGCAGUAGAUCCUCCAGUACAGAAGGGUCCACCACUGCCUCCGGUCCAAGUCUAUGCAGAGUCCAACAGUUCAACUUCCAUAUGGCUCAGGUGGAAGAAGCCCGACUUCACCACAGUCAAGAUUGUCAACUACACCGUGCGCUUCAGCCCAUGGGGCCUGAAAAACGCCUCUCUCGUCACAUACUACACAAGCUCGGAUGAAGACAUUCUCAUUAGUGGGUUGAAGCCCUACACCAGGUACGAGUUUGCUGUGCAGUCCAAUGGUGUUGGCAUCGAUGGGCCCUUUGGCAGCGUGGUGGAGCGGUUCCCCCUUCCAGAUCGUCCUUCAACUCCUCCUUCUGACCUGCGGCUGCACCCGCUCAACCCCUAUGCUGUCCAGGUGCAUUGGUGCCCCCCUGCUGAGCCCAACGGCAUCAUCGUGGAGUACCUCAUCCUGUACAAUGCCAACAACACGCAGCCCGAUGACAUGUGGACCUUGCUAACACGUGAAGGAAAUAUCUUCAGCACUGAAGUGCAUGGCCUGGAAAGUGAUACCAGAUACUUCUUUAAGAUGGGAGCAAAGACAGUCGUGGGAUCCGGGCCCUAUUCAAAUGUUAAGGAUGUGCACACCCUCCGAGAGAAGCUGUCUGAUGUUCUGGAUAUCCACUCUGUCACAGGAAUCAUUGUGGGAGUCUGCCUGGGACUGCUCUGCAUACUCUUCUGCAUGUGCGCCAGCUUCCGCAACAGCAAGCAGAGGGAGGCCCUGCCAGGCCUGGACUCCCAAGCAUCCAGCAGCCACACUUACUACCACCGGGGCAGGCAAGGGGUGGCAGCUCCCAGUGCCACCUCAGACUCUCACGAGCUGGAGUCCCUCAUGUCCCCGCUCCCAGAGGAUGCACCUGUGCCCCUUGGGGACAUCACAGAGCUGACAGAAGUGCACAGUCUCAUCCACACCAGCCUCCCUGAGGACGCCAUCCAUGGGAAGAGGAAGUCUUCAUGGAAUAAAUCGGCUAACCAGCCCUGGACAAACAACAUAGCCAGAUACGGAGACACUAUCACAAAAGAGCCUCUCUCUGCUGUGAACGGAUCACUGAAGCUCCAGUCCAGUGCAGGACAGAAGCUUUUGUUACAAGCUCUGGUUUAUGAUGCUGUUAUGAAUGAAGCAAAGAAAAGCCACCCCCCAGCCCGCCUCCAUCAAGUGGAAGCAGAAGUCAUCGUCCAUUCUGAUUUUUCAGCCUCUGAUAGAGACUGCGACUCUCAGCUUCACACACUGGGCAGUGAAGAAAUGGAAACCGAGGACCAAGAACCUGAAGAGUUUCCCUCCAGUGACCCGGCUCUUCCCAGCUCUCCCAGUAAGCAGCAAGAUGCUGGCCAACCGUUGAUGGACUGCAAGGGCAAUUCUGAGGUUCAGACCCGGGGUGGACCAUUAAGUACUGACAGAAAGACUAACAAAACAGAGGCAGUUUGCAUCCAUGAGCUCACCAAUGGCUUCCACAGGCACGGAGAAAGUCUACCUUCAAUGAAGAGCGGAGAUUCAGACUCUAUCCAGGAAGGCAGGGGGGAUGUACAACCAGUCAAGUGCCAGUCGCUUUCCAUGGCCCCGGAGGAUGCCCCCCUGUGUAGUAACUCUGGUUUAACCAGUUCAUCCUCAGCAUCUGAGAACAUGACAUAUGUCCUCAAUCAUUAAAAGAGUAAACUAAUCUGAUUUUGAUCAUGGGAGAGCUAGAAGCACUAAUAAAGGCCUGUCUCUGUGAGGUACUGCAUGCCCUCGACUUACUGAGUCCAGCAGGAGCUAGAAAGGCACAGCUUCUCACCAGAACAGGAUUUGGACCUGUCAGCUGUACAUAUGAAUCUACCUACUGAUUUCUUGAAGGUAUUGCCGUACGGUAAUUCUACAGCUGGAGAGUUGGGCUGUGUUUCUCUGUAGGACUAUGUGUUUUAUAGGAGCUGGCCAAAGGAGAGUAUUUCAGCUGGUGGGAUGUUGAUCGAUCUUUAAGAAGCCUAUACUAGUGAAGAGAAUAAAGAACUGAGAAUUGCAAAAGUAACUUGUGAUCUUGGGGAACGUCUAUUCCUUUUUCUGUGCUCAAGUGGACAUGCCUCAGAUGAUUCUGAUUUCCAGAGAGUAGCCCUCAGCCUCUUGGAAGCGGUGGAUUUGUGAAGGCUUUGGAUGCACCAGUGAUAAUUUCUAGCACUUCUGAGAGUCCUGGCCAAAGCAUGUUUAUUAAAGAGGCACCACAGAGUUUAAAAACUAUAAUCAGAUCCUAGCUCUUGUACCCCUAGGGUUUGAGUUUUGUUACAGAGUACAUUUAAAAAUUAUCCAGUUGCUGACAAUUUUCGUUGCUGACACUGUUUGCUUACUGCUGACAAGUCUAUCAGCUUGUUCUUCUGGUACUGGGUGAACGUUUUGCUACUCGUCCCUAGCCUGUCUCUACCCUGUUCCAGGCUUGCAGAGUUUGACUGCAAAUGCCACAGAUUGGAUCAGCUCCUCAGGGAGGAUUGGGAUCUGUAAUUCUGUUCUGCUCAUUGGGUAUUUGAUAAACAUUCUUCCUUUGGAGAUCUGGCUAUCUGUUUGUUAAAGAGCAAGGGGAAAGAUGCACAGCUCCCUCUUUUUCUGCUGAAAUUCCCCAAAGGCUGUGCGGGUAGCUUUGUGCUGAUCUGUGAAAGGCUUCGGACUUCUUUUGUAUUGAGAUCUGGACUGAGAUACUACUCUUUGCAGCAAUGAGAACCUGCUCCACCAGCAGCCCUGUACCUGCUUCUGUUGUGCAGAGCCGUGUCACGGUCUGGCCUAUGUUCAGAGCUGAGCUGGGCCAGCCUGUGUCCUUUCAGUCGUCCAUCUGACCCUGUUGGCUCCAGCUGUUCAGAAGAUGAGUAACUCCAAGCUGCAAUGUACCCAGUUCGGAAGGAUGUCAAAGCUUUCGCCUUCCCCCAUCCUACGACUUCUCCUCCCAGCAUGACACACCGUCCAGUAAAUGGCUGUAUUUCCACUUGUCCCACUCGCUCCGUUGCUCCAGAUGGUGCUUGGUACCCUGAGGAGUCUUGGAAAUGCUUUCCAUGCUCUGAAGCACCAUGACUCUGAAAGGCUUUAGCAGAGAGAUUUGAAAUUGGUGCCUGUGAGCAGGCUAGGCAAGAGUUAGAGCAUGUGUGCUACCAGAGCAAGGAGCUAGAAAGGCAAGAAAUUGUAACUGGGCAAAGGAAGUGCAUAAUUAACCUUCAGAACUCACUGCAACAAGACUUUGAAACUAACAACUCAGCAGGGUUACAGAUAAGACAGCGAAGCGUUAUUGCAGGCAAUAAGGGCAAUUCACAGUUAUAUGAGAGCGGAUGCAAUUGCUGAGGUAUUAACCCUCCAGCUGGGAGUAUCAGGCACCAGCUGCAGAGGAUGGGGGGCGAUUUCUGUAGCUGGACCUUGGUUUGCAGUUAGUCUUGGGGAAGAGUCCUUGCCUUUCCCGGUGACAGAACAGACCUUUUCUCUGUACAAACCAGACUGCCACUUCUGAUGUGCAAAAAGGGAGAAGGACCCUUCUUUGAAAGGCCUACUCCAACGGAAUUCCUGGUGACUUCCUUGCAACUCCAAAACCAAGUCACCUGCCUGUUCCCCCAUGCAAAACCAGCGCGCGUAACAGUGUGCCAAAAGACUGCUUCUUGCAUGUUCCUGAGUGAUACAGACAGAGUAGCCUUGAGGCAGGAGAGCUCCCUGGAUUGAACUUUUGGAACGAACACAGGGGUUGGAAACGUGCUAGUGGCCUCUGGGGAAUAGUGGCAGGAUCUUGGGGUACAUCUUCUCUGGGCGUCAUCUUGGGACGUACUCUGGAAAAGAGCAGCAAGCCAGUUGGUAGCUUUUGAAGGCUGAGCGUCUCUGCUCCUGGAGGGCAGCACAGGCAGGAGUUUGGGCAGAAGCGGACAGAACCGGGCUGCUCGAGCUCUCCUCCCAGCUCCCCGUCAUGCCACUGUACUUGGGGCAGGUCAUGUACCAGCUCUGAGCUUUCUGUCUGUACCACGAGGGUUUGUGGGGACAGAGGCUUCGCCCAGUGACGGGUUCAAACCGAUUUAGGACUGUGUGCCACAGUUGCCAGGAACACUCCUUGGUACACACACCUGCCGCUUUCCCUGCACUGGCUUUAGAGAUCCUGUAGCUGUUGUUGAGCCGCCUAAAAACUACGCCUGCCUGUCGCUGAAGCCAACGCAAGUGGGCGCAGUGUGGGAUUGUUCACUUGGAGCACCUUAGGCUGAUCCUGAAACCCCCAAGUUGGCUAUGUGCUUUGAGAGGAUGGGGGGAGAUGCAGUGGAGUGCACACAGCCCUCUUUAUGCUAGGAUUUAUUCAGGCAGAAAGCUGCACCACAAAAGUACUUUGUUUCCUCCUGUUGAGGCUUCUUCUGACCUUGCUCCACCCCAGUGGAUUGUACCAGAGCUUGAAACUGGCAGCAUUUGGACAUCCAAGUACUGCAGAAGCAGUGGACUGAUGUGCCAGACCUCAGCUGCAUAAAUCAGUUCCCUCAGAGCCAAGAGAUCUCCACUGAUGGACAGCAGCAAAAGCGUUCUGAAACCACUCGCUCUACGAGUGUCGGUGUCCAUGCAAAAUGCUUGGUGUUCCUCGUUUAUCUCAACUGUACCCCAGAUCCCCCCUAUUUUGAACACGUGGGACUGUUCUAGUCUUAGCUAGUGGUGAGAAAUGAAUGGAAGAAGAUAGGUAACACACAUAUCGUGUGAAACAACCAGUGCAUAUAUUUUUUUAUCAUGAAAUAAGUAGCUUAAUUUCCCACAGACGCUCAAACUGUUGAUACCUUUAAUUACACAUCAUACUUAAUAUAUGUUCCUACACAUCAGGCUCCCUUCUCCCUUUUCCUCCUUUCAGUAACACUAAAGAUUAUUGCUGUUCAGCUUUUUGCUGGUGUAUGUUGUUUUACAUUGUUAAAAUGUCAGAUUUGUCUCACUGGCAUAAUUUUGUAGUAUUAACGUUACCAUUUGGCUACACAACUGUAUAUUUCCCAUGCUGCUGUGAAAGUCACAAUUCUAAUUCUUUUAUUUCUUUUAAUUUCCUGUUACGUGAAACAUAUGACUCAGCUAAAAGUAUCUUUUCAACUUUUUGUUGAUUUCUUAUUUAACAGACAGUAAAGUUCUGGUUUAAAUAGCUGAAAUGAGAUAAUUUAUAACCUAGGUUUUGAGAACUGUGUUACAUUACUAGCUAAUAAUUCUGAGAUCAGUCCAUGAAAUAUGCUCUGUAAGAAAACAACCAUUUCAAUAGAACGCUAUAUAUGUUUUUUGAGCUCAUAGAAAUAGAUCUUUUGAAGGGAUCAUUGUGUCUUUUCUAAUCAAUACCCUUGUUAGAAAAGAGGUAUUUAGUCCAGCAGAAAUCUAUCAUUUAGUUCUGUUAUCAUGUUCCCUUGCUAAUAUUUUAAAAUUAAGUUUCAUUUAAUUUUGUACACAACGCAUAAGGAAGCGUAACCAGAACUUGAUCUUGUUUUAAGACUGUGUCUGUAUUUGGUUCCAUGCUGUACUUAAUUAUAACUUUCUUUCUUAAGAGACUUUCUUACUCCACAAAUAUUCUUUAGUGUUAAAGUGUAAGAAGACAUUGUCCUUAUAUUCCUUAACUAAUGGAUUAUUAAUAAAAUAUU